CGCCAGACUCCUACGGGAGGCAGCAGUGGGGAAUAUUGCACAAUGGGGGAAACCCUGAUGCAGCGACGCCGCGUGAGUGAAGAAGUAUUUCGGUAUGUAAAGCUCUAUCAGCAGGGAAGAAAGUGACGGUACCUGAUUAAGAAGCCCCGGCUAACUACGUGCCAGCAGCCGCGGUAAUACGUAGGGGGCAAGCGUUAUCCGGAUUUACUGGGUGUAAAGGGAGCGUAGACGGCAGCGCAAGUCUGGAGUGAAAUGCCGGGGCCCAACCCCGGAACUGCUCUGGAAACUGUGAAGCUGGAGUGCAGGAGAGGUAAGCGGAAUUCCUGGUGUAGCGGUGAAAUGCGUAGAUAUCAGGAGGAACACCGGCGGCGAAGGCGGCUUACUGGACUGUAACUGACGUUGAGGCUCGAAGGCGUGGGGAGCAAACAGGAUUAGAUACCCGUGUAGA
RNAcentral lists this ribosomal RNA (448 nucleotides) under uncultured bacterium. RNAcentral describes it as "bacterial SSU rRNA". It matches the Rfam family "Bacterial small subunit ribosomal RNA", at positions 329 to 794 of the family's 1533-position model. The record is from RNAcentral.